GGAAAACCCCUCAAAACAUCUGAAACCUCAGUUUCCCAUUUUUUAAAUCUGAGGCAGAUCAACCCAUCAGAAGAAUAAAAACCCGAUGACCAAAUGGUAAAUAACUAAAACAAUGAGGUCCAAAUCAGUAUUUUUUUGCCGAUCAACAUCCAUCUUUACCGGAGCUCUUCAGCAUCAACCCGCCGCCGCACUCGAACAGAGCCUUCGCUCAUUUUUUUAAUCUGAGGCAGAUCAACCCAUCAGAAGAAUAAAAUCCGAUGACCAGAUGGUGAAAUAACUAAAACAACGAGGUCCAUUUCAGUAAUUUUUCGCCGAUCAACAUCCAUCUUUACCGGAGCUCUUCACCAUCAACCCGCCGCCGCACUCGAACAGAGCCUUCGCCGUCAUCUCCCUCUCGAACCG
RNAcentral lists this long non-coding RNA (402 nucleotides) under Linum usitatissimum (flax). RNAcentral's name for it is "long non-coding RNA (LUSI_LNC001448)". Lineage: Eukaryota; Viridiplantae; Streptophyta; Magnoliopsida; Malpighiales; Linaceae. The record is from RNAcentral.